RNAcentral lists this ribosomal RNA (468 nucleotides) under uncultured bacterium. RNAcentral describes it as "partial 16S ribosomal RNA". It matches the Rfam family "Bacterial small subunit ribosomal RNA", at positions 28 to 507 of the family's 1533-position model. The record is from RNAcentral.
GACGAACGCUGGCGGCGUGCUUAACACAUGCAAGUCGAACGGAAAGGCCCUGCUUUUGUGGGGUGCUCGAGUGGCGAACGGGUGAGUAACACGUGAGUAACCUGCCCUUGACUUUGGGAUAACUUCAGGAAACUGGGGCUAAUACCGGAUAGGAGCUCCUGCUGCAUGGGGGGGGUUGGAAAGUUUCGGCGGUUGGGGAUGGACUCGCGGCUUAUCAGCUUGUUGGUGGGGUAGUGGCUUACCAAGGCUUUGCCGGGUAGCCGGCCUGAGAGGGUGACCGGCCACAUUGGGCCUGGGAUACGGCCCAGACUCCUCCGGGAGGCAGCAGUGGGGAAUAUUGCACAAUGGGCGGAAGCCUGAUGCAGCAACGCCGCGUGCGGGAUGACGGCCUUCGGGUUGUAUACCGCUUUCGCCUGUGACGAAGCGUGAGUGACGGUAAUGGGUAAAGAAGCACCGGCUAACUACGUG